This 253-nucleotide ribosomal RNA is filed under the name uncultured bacterium. Its description in RNAcentral is "partial 16S ribosomal RNA". It matches the Rfam family "Bacterial small subunit ribosomal RNA", at positions 524 to 776 of the family's 1533-position model. The record is from RNAcentral.
UACGGAGGGGGCUAGCGUUAAUCAGAAUUACUGGGCGUAAAGCGUGCGCAGGCGGUUGUAUAAGACAGAUGUGAAAUCCCCGGGCUCAACCUGGGAACUGCAUUUGUGACUGUACGGCUAGAGUGUGUCAGAGGGGGGUGGAAUUCCACGUGUAGCAGUGAAAUGCGUAGAUAUGUGGAGGAACACCAAUGGCGAAGGCAGCCCCCUGGGAUAACACUGACGCUCAUGCACGAAAGCGUGGGGAGCAAACAGG